UACGUAGGGGGCUAGCGUUGUCCGGAAUCAUUGGGCGUAAAGCGCGUGUAGGCGGUCCGGUAAGUCCGCUGUGAAAGUCGAGGGCUCAACCCUCGAAUGCCGGUGGAUACUGUCGGGCUAGAGUACGGAAGAGGCGAGUGGAAUUCUUGGUGUAGCGGUGAAAUGCGUAGAUAUCUGGAGGAACACCGGUGGCGAAGGCGGCAUCCUGGACCGAUAUUGACGCUGAGGCGCGAAAGCCAGGGGAGCAAACGGG
RNAcentral lists this ribosomal RNA (253 nucleotides) under uncultured bacterium. Its description in RNAcentral is "partial 16S ribosomal RNA". It matches the Rfam family "Bacterial small subunit ribosomal RNA", at positions 524 to 776 of the family's 1533-position model. The record is from RNAcentral.